AUUGAACGCUGGCGGCAUGCCUAACACAUGCAAGUCGAACGGCAGCACAGUAAAGAUUUCGGUCUUUAUGGGUGGCGAGUGGCAGACGGGUGAGUAAUGCGUAGGAAUCUGUCUUGGAGAGUGGGAUAACCCGAGGAAACUCGGGCUAAUACUGCAUGAUAUCGAGAGAUCAAAGGCAGGGGACCCUUCGGGGCCUUGCGCUCUAGGAUGAGCCUACGUCGGAUUAGCUAAUUGGUGGGGUAAAGGCCUACCAAGGCGACGAUCCGUAGCUGGUCUUAGAGGAUGACCAGCCAAACGGGGACUGAGACACGGCCCAGACUCCUACGGGAGGCAGCAGUGGGGAAUCUUGGACAAUGGGGGAAACCCUGAUCCAGCGAUGCCGCGUGUGUGAAGAAGGCCUUCGGGUUGUAAAGCACUUUAGUUGGGGAAGAAAAGUAAUGAGUGAAUAACUGAUUGCUCUGACGGUACCCAAAGAAUAAGCACCGGCUAACUCUGUGCCAGCCGCCGCAGUAA
This 513-nucleotide ribosomal RNA is filed under the name uncultured bacterium. RNAcentral's name for it is "partial 16S ribosomal RNA". It matches the Rfam family "Bacterial small subunit ribosomal RNA", at positions 30 to 523 of the family's 1533-position model. The record is from RNAcentral.